Molecule: ribosomal RNA, 457 nt
Filed under: uncultured bacterium
Lineage: Bacteria
Description: bacterial SSU rRNA
Rfam family: Bacterial small subunit ribosomal RNA
Source: RNAcentral
UACGGAAGGUAGCAGUGGGGAAUAUUGCACAAUGGGCGAAAGCCUGAUGCAGCUAUGCCGCGUGUAUGAAGAAGGCCUUAGGGUUGUAAAGUACUUUCAUCGGGGAGGAAAAAACAAAACUAAUAAUUUUAUUUCUUGACGUUACCCGAAAAAGAAGCACCGGCUAACUCCGUGCCAGCAGCCGCGGUAAUACGGAGGGUGCUAGCGUUAAUCAGAAUUACUGGGCGUAAAGAGCACGUAGGUGGUUUUUUUAAGUCAGAUGUGAAAUCCCUGGGCUUAACCUAGGAACUGCAUUUUGAAACUGAAAUACUAGAGUAUCGUAGAGGGAGGUAGAAUUCUAGGUGUAGCGGUGAAAUGCGUAGAUAUCUGGAGGAAUACCUGUGGCGAAAGCGGCCUCCUAAACGAAUACUGACACUGAGGGUGCGAAAGCGUGGGGAGCAAACAGGGAUUAGAUACC